Molecule: ribosomal RNA, 402 nt
Filed under: bacterium
Lineage: Bacteria
Description: partial 16S ribosomal RNA
Rfam family: Bacterial small subunit ribosomal RNA
Source: RNAcentral
UGGGGAAUUUUGCACAAUGGGGGAAACCCUGAUGCAGCGACGCCGCGUGAUUUAGAAGGCCUUCGGGUUGUAAAAAUCUUUUCUAUGGGAAGAAAAUGACAGUACCAUAGGAAUAAGGACCGGCUAAUUACGUGCCAGCAGCCGCGGUAAUACGUAAGGUCCGAGCGUUGUCCGGAAUCAUUGGGCGUAAAGGGUACGUAGGCGGGUAAGCAAGUUAGAAGUGAAAUCCUAUGGCUCAACUAUAGUAAGCUUUUAAAACUGCUCAUCUUGAGGUAUGGAAGGGAAAGUGGAAUUCCUAGUGUAGCGGUGAAAUGCGCAGAUAUUAGGAGGAAUACCGGUGGCGAAGGCGACUUUCUGGCCAUAACCUGACGCUGAGGUACGAAAGCGUGGGUAGCAAACAGG